CCAACGACCGGCCAAACGACCGUUUAUUGGGAUCUCGAGAAACGACCACGACUGCCACGGGGAGAUGGACGAUUCUUGGAACGGUGGCUGCAUCUCCAGCCUUUUGUUGCCGCAUUUAGCGAUAUGUGUUCGAAUCUCAACUUCGAACUGGACUCCAAAUUUUUCGACGCUAUUGCGAUCCCAUCACUAGCUACGUUCGAAACGAUAAAAAAAUGUAAAUCAAAAAGCAAGCGUAGGGAGUCCAGAAAAAAAGAGAAAGAAAUCGUCUUGACGACUUUUGAGGAUCACAUAAACGUCCUUCGACAGCCAAG
Molecule: unclassified non-coding RNA, 311 nt
Filed under: Bombus terrestris (buff-tailed bumblebee)
Lineage: Eukaryota; Metazoa; Arthropoda; Insecta; Hymenoptera; Apidae
Description: misc RNA ENSBTSG00005029344.1
Source: RNAcentral